RNAcentral lists this ribosomal RNA (282 nucleotides) under uncultured bacterium. Its description in RNAcentral is "partial 16S ribosomal RNA". It matches the Rfam family "Bacterial small subunit ribosomal RNA", at positions 28 to 311 of the family's 1533-position model. The record is from RNAcentral.
GACGAACGCUGGCGGCGUGCUUAACACAUGCAAGUCGAGCGGUAAGGCCCUUUCGGGGGUACACGAGCGGCGAACGGGUGAGUAACACGUGGGUGACCUGCCCUCAGCUCUGGGAUAAGCCUGGGAAACCGGGUCUAAUACUGGAUAUGACUCCAUGACGCAUGUUGUGGGGUGGAAAGCCUUGUGCGGCUGAGGAUGGGCCCGCGGCCUAUCAGCUUAUUGGUGGGGUGANGGCCUACCAAGGCGACGACGGGUAGCCGGCCUGAGAGGGCGACCGGCCAC